UCUUCAUUUCACACGCUCUCCCGGUCAGAGAGGCGAGAGAGUGUGUGAAAUGAAGAGA
Molecule: microRNA precursor, 58 nt
Filed under: Pristionchus pacificus
Lineage: Eukaryota; Metazoa; Nematoda; Chromadorea; Rhabditida; Neodiplogasteridae
Description: mir-8364 microRNA precursor family
Rfam family: mir-8364 microRNA precursor family
Source: Rfam by way of RNAcentral